CAGACGCACGAGAUUAAUCCAACUUCAACGCUUGAUCUAGGACGAUCUAGGCCGAACCAGGCUUAGCUCCAGGUGAUCGAUGGAUUUAUUUGGCGGACGAUUCGUGAGAUUGUUAAUGGAGCUGUUAAGAAGACGCAGCUGGAUUAGAGCGGGUAAUCCUACAGGACAGGAGAACCAGGACGGUGAUCGUGCGGUUAGAGCAAUUGUUAGAGUUUUACAGCAAUUGUAAGUUGUGAGGUGUAUUAUGCUCAUUUAGAGCUUUACAAUAUUGCUUGUGAGAGUGAAUUGUAAUAAUGAACUCGAGGUUUCGA
This is a long non-coding RNA of Rosa rugosa (rugosa rose), 311 nucleotides long. RefSeq lists it as uncharacterized. Lineage: Eukaryota; Viridiplantae; Streptophyta; Magnoliopsida; Rosales; Rosaceae. The transcript is spliced from 3 exons. The record is from RefSeq and is a predicted model, not a curated record.